AGGAGAAGUCGUAACAAGGUUUCCGUAGGUGAACCUGCGGAAGGAUCAUUGUCGAAUCCUGCGAGACCCGCGAACCCGUUCCUAACUCCGGGCGUCAGGCCGGGAUGCCCCCGCGCCUCGUCGUCCGCCCCGCCUUCCGGUGCCCCAGGGCGCCGGUCGCGCGGACGCAACCCGAAACCCGGCGCGGGAAGCGCCAAGGAAAACUGAAAGCUGACGGCCUUCCCCUGUCCCUGCCGUGCGCGGUGCGGGCCGGGGGAGCGAAGGCGCCUGUCGAAUCUGAACGACUCUCGGCAACGGAUAUCUAGGCUCUCGCAUCGAUGAAGAACGUAGCAAACUGCGAUACUUGGUGUGAAUUGCAGAAUCCCGUGAACCAUCGAGUCUUUGAACGCAAGUUGCGCCCGAAGCCGUUAGGCGGAGGGCACGUCUGCCUGGGCGUCACGCGCAGCGUCGCCCCCUCCAAGGCCUUGCCCGAAACGGGACGAGCGCCUCGGCGUGGGGGCGGAGAGUGGCCUCCCGUGCAUGCCCGCGGCCGGCCCAAAUGCGAGUCCCUCGCCGCAGACGCCUCGACGAGUGGUGGUUGGAGUCCUCAACUCGAUCUCGAGUCGAGCGACGCCCGCGGCCGACGAGACCCGAUCAGACCCUAUGGCGGGCGCGCCCCUCCCGGGGAGUGCCCUCCACGACCGCGACCCCAGGUCAGGCGGGAUUACCCGCUGAGUUUA
This 719-nucleotide ribosomal RNA is filed under the name Kopsia arborea. Its description in RNAcentral is "eukaryotic LSU rRNA". The stretch from base 283 to 438 matches the Rfam family "5.8S ribosomal RNA". The record is from RNAcentral. Lineage: Eukaryota; Viridiplantae; Streptophyta; Magnoliopsida; Gentianales; Apocynaceae.